CAAGCCUCUUUAAAGAAAUAACUGAUUCCAGGGCUGCUUCAGAGAAACAACAGGUGAACCCAGAACAUCAUGUAGUACCAAAAAGUGAGGAAGUGCUCAAAGAACAAGACUCCAGCUUAUAGAAAUAACUCAGGGUCAAAAUUCUGUGCCAAAUAUACCAUCUCAGUGAAAAGAAAUCCUGAGGUACCCAAGUGGAAACCAACUUAAGGUUACCAUCUCAACCCAAACCCAGCAAGAGGGGAAGUGCUCUGCAAAUGAGAGCUACCUCAGGUCAGAGCUGAUUCCCAUACUGCCAAUGCCUCUGGGUGCCUCAAUGCCAUGCAAACUGAUCAAUCACCACCACAGCACCGGAGUAGAUCUGAGUAUAGUGGAAGCAUGAAGCCUGUUAGAAAUUGCUCCUGCCCAAGAAUUUAUACUCAUCAAAUUUAUACCCAGAGAGCUGGACAGGUUGAUGCCACAAGUAAGCCAAGCUCUGUUUUUGGACUGCCUGUGUGGAAAAGCCUCUGAAUACUUCAGCAUUAAAUGAUGAUGAUGAUGAUGAUGAUGAUGAUGAUGAUAAAUUUGAAUAUAUCAUGUCAUAUUCAAUCAUCACCACAAAUAUAUGAAAGUAACUUUUAUUAUUUCUAUUUUCCACAUAAGAAA
This is a long non-coding RNA of Canis lupus familiaris (dog), 642 nucleotides long. RefSeq lists it as uncharacterized. The record is from RefSeq and is a predicted model, not a curated record. Lineage: Eukaryota; Metazoa; Chordata; Mammalia; Carnivora; Canidae. The transcript has 3 exons.